UACCCUGAGUAAAGUGGCGUACGGGUGAGUAACACGUGGGUAAUCCACCCUUUAGUGGGGAAUAACCCUGGGAAACCGGGGCUAAUACCGCAUAAGCCUGAGAAGGGAAAGCAGCAAUGCGCUGAAGGAGGAGCCCGCGGCCGAUUAGCUAGUUGGUGAGGUAACGGCCCACCAAGGCGAUGAUCGGUAGCCGGCCUGAGAGGGCACACGGCCACACUGGCACUGAAACACGGGCCAG
RNAcentral lists this ribosomal RNA (238 nucleotides) under uncultured bacterium. Its description in RNAcentral is "partial 16S ribosomal RNA". It matches the Rfam family "Bacterial small subunit ribosomal RNA", at positions 82 to 334 of the family's 1533-position model. The record is from RNAcentral.